ACGAACAUUAGCCUCUUGAUCCCACCGCAAUGGUUGUGAGCCUGUAACCGAUCACAACAAUGUUCUCCACCUGUGACCAGGCACAAACUCGAAGCUCUGCUCCUCUUUUUAUGAAGCGGAGAUGGGCCGAAGGGGCCAAGGGGGAAGAGAAGCCGCGAAGGGGGGAGACUGGGACUGGGAGAGAACUCAGUGAAAACUGAAAAGGCAGAGAACUGGGAGGAGGAAAACUGAGCUUCGACUUGGGAAGGGAGGGAGAGAAGAAUUUUCUGAUUUUCAAGCUUUAGGCUUCAGCAAAAAAAAGGCAGAGAAUGGGGGGAGAGAAGUCGGAGACCUAGAGCCCGGAGACCGGAGCCUGGAGGUUGUCAUUGUCGGCCUGUCGGGAAGGGGGUCGUAGCCUGAGCUUCGACUUCGCAUCGACGCCGAGAAUGGGGGAGACUGGAGAGAAGCCGAGAAGCGAAGAAUGGGAGAAGGGCCAGGGGGGAGACUAGGAGAGAAGCCGAGAAGGG
RNAcentral lists this long non-coding RNA (506 nucleotides) under Phoenix dactylifera (date palm). RNAcentral describes it as "long non-coding RNA (PDAC_LNC002198)". The record is from RNAcentral. Lineage: Eukaryota; Viridiplantae; Streptophyta; Magnoliopsida; Arecales; Arecaceae.